This is a non-coding RNA of Tetraodon nigroviridis (spotted green pufferfish), 69 nucleotides long. Lineage: Eukaryota; Metazoa; Chordata; Actinopteri; Tetraodontiformes; Tetraodontidae. The record is from Rfam.
UGAGCUAUGAGGACAAACAUUUGAACAGAUGCACUCUGGUGACUGUAUACGCUAUUCUGAGCCACAGCU